GACGAACGCUGGCGGCGUGCCUAAUACAUGCAAGUAGAACGCUGAAGAGAGGAGCUUGCUCUUCUUGGAUGAGUUGCGAACGGGUGAGUAACGCGUAGGUAACCUGCCUUGUAGCGGGGGAUAACUAUUGGAAACGAUAGCUAAUACCGCAUAACAAUGGAUGACACAUGUCAUUUAUUUGAAAGGGGCAAUUGCUCCACUACAAGAUGGACCUGCGUUGUAUUAGCUAGUAGGUGAGGUAAUGGCUCACCUAGGCGACGAUACAUAGCCGACCUGAGAGGGUGAUCGGCCACACUGGGACUGAGACACGGCCCAGACUCCUACGGGAGGCAGCAGUANGGAAUCUUCGGCAAUGGGGGCAACCCUGACCGAGCAACGCCGCGUGAGUGAAGAAGGUUUUCGGAUCGUAAAGCUCUGUUGUAAGUCAAGAACGGGUGUGAGAGUGGAAAGUUCACACUAUGACGGUAGCUUACCAGAAAGGGACGGCUAACUACGUGCCAGCAGCCGCGGUAAUACGUAGGUCCCGAGCGUUGUCCGGAUUUAUUGGGCGUAAAGCGAGCGCAGGCGGUCUGAUAAGUCUGAAGUUAAAGGCUGUGGCUCAACCAUAGUUCGCUUUGGAAACUGUCAAACUUGAGUGCAGAAGGGGAGAGUGGAAUUCCAUGUGUAGCGGUGAAAUGCGUAGAUAUAUGGAGGAACACCGGUGGCGAAAGCGGCUCUCUGGUCUGUAACUGACGCUGAGGCUCGAAAGCGUGGGGAGCGAACAGGAUUAGAUACCCUGGUAGUCCACGCCGUAAACGAUGAGUGCUAGGUGUUGGAUCCUUUCCGGGAUUCAGUGCCGCAGCUAACGCAUUAAGCACUCCGCCUGGGGAGUACGACCGCAAGGUUGAAACUCAAAGGAAUUGACGGGGGCCCGCACAAGCGGUGGAGCAUGUGGUUUAAUUCGAAGCAACGCGAAGAACCUUACCAGGUCUUGACAUCCCGAUGCUAUUUCUAGAGAUAGAAAGUUACUUCGGUACAUCGGUGACAGGUGGUGCAUGGUUGUCGUCAGCUCGUGUCGUGAGAUGUUGGGUUAAGUCCCGCAACGAGCGCAACCCCUAUUGUUAGUUGCCAUCAUUCAGUUGGGCACUCUAGCGAGACUGCCGGUAAUAAACCGGAGGAAGGUGGGGAUGACGUCAAAUCAUCAUGCCCCUUAUGACCUGGGCUACACACGUGCUACAAUGGUUGGUACAACGAGUUGCGAGUCGGUGACGGCGAGCUAAUCUCUUAAAGCCAAUCCCAGUUCGGAUUGUAGGCUGCAACUCGCCUACAUGAAGUCGGAAUCGCUAGUAAUCGCGGAUCAGCACGCCGCGGUGAAUACGUUCCCGGGCCUUGUACACACCGCCCGUCACACCACGAGAGUUUGUAACACCCGAAGUCGGUGAGGUAACCUUUUGGAGCCAGCCGCCUAAGGUGGGACAGAUGAUUGGGGUGAAGUCGUAACAAGGUAGCCGUAUCGGAAGG
This 1500-nucleotide ribosomal RNA is filed under the name uncultured bacterium. RNAcentral's name for it is "bacterial SSU rRNA". It matches the Rfam family "Bacterial small subunit ribosomal RNA". The record is from RNAcentral.